This 704-nucleotide ribosomal RNA is filed under the name uncultured bacterium. Its description in RNAcentral is "bacterial SSU rRNA". It matches the Rfam family "Bacterial small subunit ribosomal RNA", at positions 62 to 761 of the family's 1533-position model. The record is from RNAcentral.
UCGAACGGAGGAUGUACGGUGAAGAGAUUUCGGUCAUAUCAUGUGCAUCUUUAGUGGCGGACGGGUGAGUAACGCGUGGGUAACCUGCCUUACACAGGGGGAUAACACUUAGAAAUAGGUGCUAAUACCGCAUGAGCGCACAGGACCGCAUGGUCGAGUGUGAAAAACUGAGGUGGUGUAAGAUGGACCCGCGUCUGAUUAGCUAGUUGGUGAGGUAACGGCCCACCAAGGCGACGAUCAGUAGCCGGCCUGAGAGGGUGGACGGCCACAUUGGGACUGAGACACGGCCCAAACUCCUACGGGAGGCAGCAGUGGGGGAUAUUGGACAAUGGGGGGAACCCUGAUCCAGCGACGCCGCGUGAGUGAAGAAGUAUCUCGGUAUGUAAAGCUCUAUCAGCAGGGAAGAAAGAAAUGACGGUACCUGAGUAAGAAGCCCCGGCUAACUACGUGCCAGCAGCCGCGGUAAUACGUAGGGGGCAAGCGUUAUCCGGAAUUACUGGGUGUAAAGGGAGCGUAGACGGUGAUGUAAGUCUGGCGCGAAAGGCGGGGGCCCAACCCCCGGACUGCUCUGGAAACUAUGUGACUGGAGUGCAGGAGAGGUGAGCGGAAUUCCUAGUGUAGCGGUGAAAUGCGUAGAUAUUUGAGAGAACACCAGUGGCGAAGGCGGCUCACUGGACUGUAACUGACGUUGAGGCUCGAAAGCG